RNAcentral lists this long non-coding RNA (238 nucleotides) under Capsicum annuum. RNAcentral's name for it is "long non-coding RNA (CANN_LNC004484)". Lineage: Eukaryota; Viridiplantae; Streptophyta; Magnoliopsida; Solanales; Solanaceae. The record is from RNAcentral.
AUUGAGAGAGAAUUACUUUCUUUUGAGAGAAUUUGUGAAAAGAAUGAUCGAUUAUGCCUUUUGGUACCCUUAAUCUUGUGUUAUGGACCAAUUUGGUGAAGGAAAAAGACUCAAAUAUCCUUGAAAAAACAAAAAUAGAAGCUGGAAAAAUAGAGGCACGCGAUGGAGCAGGUGCCACAGGAUCUGGUACAGUGCACUAGAGCAGGAACUUUGGGCUUCACUAUGAUGCACUAUCGGG